AGAGGGAGAAGCCGGCGGACAGGGUGAUGAGCUCGGAAGAAUAGGAGGAAGCGAGGCCGCCAGAGGCAGAGGAGAAGAGGCAAUCGAGUGCUCCUUGCCUGAAAGCGAGGCCGCCAAAGCCAGAGGAGAAGAGGAAGCGGCAGGGUAGGGCGUGGUGAUGGCGGGAUCUCCGACAUGCUCACCAUUGGGGAGCGGCGGCGGUCAGAGCUAGCUAGACGCUGCAAGUAUACAUGGGAGGUUCACGGUUCAGAUUUCGGACCAUUCACAAGUCGUGCAGGUACCUACUCACCCAAGUGCUACAUCUCCAUGUGUCUAAUCCCCUUUUCUUCAGCUAAGGGCAAUUCUCACACCAUGUCAGCCCGCGGUUCGACAUGGGACGUUUGGUGAUUCCUCAACAACUUCUGCACCGUGAGCCUGACAAACACGGCUGCCAUGCUCUUUCCUCCUCUGUCAAGGUAAGCUACAUCAGCAGAAACACACAAAUUGUAUAAGCCUGAUUACAUUACAUAUAUCCUAGUGUUGAGGACAUGUCCGACGCGGAUCCUGCUCCCGCGUGGUCCACGGGGUUGACGCCCUCCUUGCCGUGGUCGAGCGCACCGACGACGACUCCGCGUGUGCUGAACAGAACCAGCUUGGGCAAGCUACCUCCCAUCAGCGGCACCAACCGAGGAAGAGGAACCCAACGACGUGGAGCGAAUACGCUCUACCAAACGAACAGGAAGGACACUACAAGAGGGAUAUAAACGAAGACCAGACAAGGAAGUACAUAUAGGCACGCGAAAAAAGAGAAGAAAACAAAACGAACCCACGAGAAAAAACCAGAAAACAACGUGUCAAUUGAUGGCAUAGGCACUCAACGAUACAUGAAGCCAACGUGACCACAUGCAUGAGCCAUGCAAAGGCAUGUGGAACAACACCAAUCCACAUACUUCUAGAACGGCCAACCCAGCGAAUCAACCUGUGGUUGAGUUGGUUAGGUGGACAGUGAUAUCCUCAACCCACCAGGGUUCAAAUCUUGGUGCUCGCAUUAUUUCUGGAUUUAUUUUAGGAUUUCCGGCGAUGCGCUUUCAGUGGAGGAGACGUUCCCGUCGACGACGAGGCGCCUACGGUGACUUCGUAAAUCUCAAGAUGAUAUGCCGGCUCAGUCUCUCAGAGGUGCUCAUAGGUGUAGGGUGUGCGUGUGUGCGUUCAUAGGGAUGAGUGUAUGCGCGUGUAUAUGAGCGCUUGUGUCUGUACUGAUGCUAAAAAAACGGCCAUCCCAUUACUCAGUCGACCAAACAUUUUUAAAGGAAAAGAUGAACCUUCUAGGAGACCCCACAACACAUGCGUCAAUAAGCAAGAGCACACAGCGUGACAAUGUCAACGGUGAACAAAACGUGACCGCAGGAAAAAUCAACUCCGUGACACCCUAGGAGACAAUCUUGUACAUGCGUCAAUCAAAGAAACACAGUAAUUUUUUUUCCAAAAAACCAGAAAAAAGAAC
This 1483-nucleotide long non-coding RNA is filed under the name Triticum aestivum (bread wheat). Its description in RNAcentral is "long non-coding RNA (TAES_LNC024851)". The record is from RNAcentral. Lineage: Eukaryota; Viridiplantae; Streptophyta; Magnoliopsida; Poales; Poaceae.